GAUGAACGCUGGCGGCGUGCCUAACACAUGCAAGUCGAGCGAUUUACUUCGGUAAAGAGCGGCGGACGGGUGAGUAACGCGUGGGUAACCUGCCCUGUACACACGGAUAACAUACUGAAAGGUAUGCUGAUACGGGAUAACAUAAGAGAGUCGCAUGGCUUUCUUAUCAAAGCUUUUGCGGUACAGGAUGGACCCGCGUCUGAUUAGCUAGUUGGUAAGGUAACGGCUUACCAAGGCGACGAUCAGUAGCCGACCUGAGAGGGUGAUCGGCCACAUAGGAACUGAGACACGGUCCAAACUACUACGGGAGGCAGCAGUGGGGAAUAUUGCACAAUGGGCGAAAGCCUGAUGCAGCAACGCCGCGUGAGCGAUGAAGGCCUUCGGGUCGUAAAGCUCUGUCCUCAAGGAAGAUAAUGACGGUACUUGAGGAGGAAGCCCCGGCUAACUACGUGCCAGCCGCCGCGGUAA
RNAcentral lists this ribosomal RNA (468 nucleotides) under uncultured bacterium. RNAcentral describes it as "partial 16S ribosomal RNA". It matches the Rfam family "Bacterial small subunit ribosomal RNA", at positions 28 to 523 of the family's 1533-position model. The record is from RNAcentral.